RNAcentral lists this ribosomal RNA (515 nucleotides) under Fusarium torulosum. RNAcentral's name for it is "eukaryotic LSU rRNA". The stretch from base 151 to 304 matches the Rfam family "5.8S ribosomal RNA". The record is from RNAcentral. Lineage: Eukaryota; Fungi; Ascomycota; Sordariomycetes; Hypocreales; Nectriaceae.
CGAGUUUACAACUCCCAAACCCCUGUGAACAUACCUUAAUGUUGCCUCGGCGGAUCAGCCCGCGCCCCGUAAAACGGGACGGCCCGCCAGAGGACCCAAACUCUAAUGUUUCUUAUUGUAACUUCUGAGUAAAACAAACAAAUAAAUCAAAACUUUCAACAACGGAUCUCUUGGUUCUGGCAUCGAUGAAGAACGCAGCAAAAUGCGAUAAGUAAUGUGAAUUGCAGAAUUCAGUGAAUCAUCGAAUCUUUGAACGCACAUUGCGCCCGCUGGUAUUCCGGCGGGCAUGCCUGUUCGAGCGUCAUUUCAACCCUCAAGCCCCCGGGUUUGGUGUUGGGGAUCGGCUCUGCCUUCUGGCGGCGCCGCCCCCGAAAUACAUUGGCGGUCUCGCUGCAGCCUCCAUUGCGUAGUAGCUAACACCUCGCAACUGGAACGCGGCGCGGCCAUGCCGUAAAACCCCAACUUCUGAAUGUUGACCUCGGAUCAGGUAGGAAUACCCGCUGAACUUAAGCAUA